Molecule: RNA transcript, 579 nt
Organism: Manduca sexta (tobacco hornworm)
Lineage: Eukaryota; Metazoa; Arthropoda; Insecta; Lepidoptera; Sphingidae
Gene name: neuropeptide-like protein 33
Exons: 3
Source: RefSeq, a predicted model, not a curated record
UCGGCUUUACAGUAUAAAUAGUUGCGUUAACUGAAUAUCGGCACACUUCGUCUGAAGAACAAUCAUGAAAGCCUACAUCACUCUGGCCUGCCUGUCGGCAGUACUUGCGCUUAGCCAGGCUAGCGGCAUUGGCCUCGGCUACGGCGGCUUGGGUCUCGGCCAGGCUACGGGGGUGGUUACGGCUAUGGACUCGGCGGUGGUCAUCUCCUGGCUCCAGCGAUCUCAACCGCCAGCGUGGUGAAAGCCGCCCCGAUCCCGGUCAUUAGGACCGCUGCCGUAGCACCCAUCAUCACUGCUCCUGUCCUACGCACUGUACCAGUAAGCGUCGGCUACGGAUACGGUGGCUAUGGACAUGGUGGCUACGGACACGGUGGCUACGGAUUGGGUGGCUACGGACUUGGCUACGGACUGGGCGGCUACGGCAGGGGCUGGGGCGGUCUAGGCAGCUGGGGCGGUUGGGGAUUGGGCGGCAAGCAUUACGGCUGAACCAAUAAAGACGAAGUGCAUCUUUCUGUAAAACCAAAUUGAUUGUCCUUCGAUUGGCUCAUGCACCGUAAUAAAAUGUAUUCACACGUCUAA